This 1002-nucleotide ribosomal RNA is filed under the name Delonicicola siamense. RNAcentral describes it as "SSU rRNA". It matches the Rfam family "Eukaryotic small subunit ribosomal RNA", at positions 77 to 1089 of the family's 1831-position model. Lineage: Eukaryota; Fungi; Ascomycota; Sordariomycetes; Xylariales; Delonicicolaceae. The record is from RNAcentral.
UACAGCGAAACUGCGAAUGGCUCAUUAAAUCAGUUAUCGUUUAUUUGAUAGUACCUUACUACUUGGAUAACCGUGGUAAUUCUAGAGCUAAUACAUGCUAAAAAUCCCGACUUCGGAAGGGAUGUAUUUAUUAGAUUAAAAACCAAUGCCCUUCGGGGCUCUUUGGUGAUUCAUAAUAACUUCUCGAAUCGCAUGGCCUUGCGCCGGCGAUGGUUCAUUCAAAUUUCUGCCCUAUCAACUUUCGAUGGCAGGGUCUUGGCCUGCCAUGGUUACAACGGGUAACGGAGGGUUAGGGCUCGACCCCGGAGAUGGAGCCUGAGAAAUGGCUACAACAUCCAAGGAAGGCAGCAGGCGCGCAAAUUACCCAAUCCCGAUACGGGGAGGUAGUGACAAUAAAUACUGAUACAGGGCUCUUUUGGGUCUUGUAAUUGGAAUGAGUACAAUUUAAAUCCCUUAACGAGGAACAAUUGGAGGGCAAGUCUGGUGCCAGCAGCCGCGGUAAUUCCAGCUCCAAUAGCGUAUAUUAAAGUUGUUGAGGUUAAAAAGCUCGUAGUUGAACCUUGGGCCUGGCUGGCCGGUCCGCCUCACCGCGUGCACUGGUUCGGCCGGGCCUUUCCCUCUGGGGAACCUCAUGCCCUUCACUGGGUGUGAUGGGGAACCAGGACUUUUACUGUGAAAAAAUUAGAGUGUUCAAAGCAGGCCUAUGCUCGAAUACAUUAGCAUGGAAUAAUAGAAUAGGACGUGUGGUUCUAUUUUGUUGGUUUCUAGGACCGCCGUAAUGAUUAAUAGGGACAGUCGGGGGCAUCAGUAUUCAAUUGUCAGAGGUGAAAUUCUUGGAUUUAUUGAAGACUAACUACUGCGAAAGCAUUUGCCAAGGAUGUUUUCAUUAAUCAGGAACGAAAGUUAGGGGAUCGAAGACGAUCAGAUACCGUCGUAGUCUUAACCAUAAACUAUGCCGACUAGGGAUCGGACGAUGUUAUUUUUUGACUCGUUCGGCACCUU